GCUCAGGAUGAACGCUGGCGGCGUGCUUAACACAUGCAAGUCGAACGAAGCACCUUAUUCUGAUUUCUUCGGAAUGAAAAAUUUGGUGACUGAGUGGCGGACGGGUGAGUAACGCGUGGGUAACCUGCCUCAUACAGGGGGAUAACAGUUAGAAAUGACUGCUAAUACCGCAUAAGACCACAGCACCGCAUGGUGCAGGGGUAAAAACUCCGGUGGUAUGAGAUGGACCCGCGUCUGAUUAGGUAGUUGGUGGGGUAACGGCCUACCAAGCCGAC
RNAcentral lists this ribosomal RNA (275 nucleotides) under uncultured bacterium. RNAcentral describes it as "partial 16S ribosomal RNA". It matches the Rfam family "Bacterial small subunit ribosomal RNA", at positions 22 to 277 of the family's 1533-position model. The record is from RNAcentral.